GCAAUAGUUUCCUAUGCAAUCGUUAUAGAAGAAUAAAGGAAAUAAUCUUGGGAUAGUGAUUCAAUAAAUAAUAGGUCCCCUGUCUAGAGCGCACGCGUCCUUGAGCCACGCAGGUGCAUGAUGACGUCAUACCGUGGCUUCACUGCAGAUUGACCAAAGGAGCAUUAGUGGAAAAAAACAGUGUAGCCCUGAGACAAUAGGAUGAUGUCUGGACCAAUGAGAACUGCCAGCAGGGGGCGCAGGAAUGCUCUUCUCACUUAGCCUCACGACCAAUGAGAACGGCCAGCAGGGGGCGCAGGAAUGCUCUUCUCUCUUAGCCUCUCGCAGGUGGCGGUAGGAGGGCGCAGAGGGCGCUACGAGCGCGCGCAUGCGUAGCACCCGUAGAGUGGCGCUUACGUCAGUCCACCUCUGGCUCUCGUUGGGAGAAGACGUGCGGUCGUUCGCUCCGUCGUCACUUGAUCCCUGGCUGUCGACGAGAGCAGUCGCAUCGGUCUGCGCUCCUGCUGUGAGCUGUCCUAACUUGCCCAGACAUGCCAUGAUGACGUCACAGCUGACGUCACAGGAUGUGCGGAACUGGUGCUGCGAUGCUUUGCAACCUGCCUCUGUGCUCCGUCGCCCAGCGACGGUCAGCGGCCGUUCCGGGCCGCUUUCUUCAUUGAUCUUCCAGUAAACUCCUUCUCUCCACUC
Molecule: long non-coding RNA, 687 nt
Organism: Ornithodoros turicata
Lineage: Eukaryota; Metazoa; Arthropoda; Arachnida; Ixodida; Argasidae
Exons: 2
Source: RefSeq, a predicted model, not a curated record